RNAcentral lists this ribosomal RNA (492 nucleotides) under uncultured bacterium. RNAcentral's name for it is "partial 16S ribosomal RNA". It matches the Rfam family "Bacterial small subunit ribosomal RNA", at positions 29 to 507 of the family's 1533-position model. The record is from RNAcentral.
AGUGAACGCUGGCGGUAGGCCUAACACAUGCAAGUCGAACGGCAGCACAGUAAGAGCUUGCUCUUACGGGUGGCGAGUGGCGGACGGGUGAGGAAUACAUCGGAAUCUACUUUUUCGUGGGGGACAACGUAGGGAAACUUACGCUAAUACCGCAUACGACCUACGGGUGAAAGCAGGGGAGCUUCGGACCUUGCGCGAUUGAAUGAGCCGAUGUCGGGUUAGCUAGUUGGCGGGGUAAAGGCCCACCAAGGCGACGAUCCGUAGCUGGUCUGAGAGGAUGAUCAGCCACACUGGAACUGAGACACGGUCCAGACUCCUACGGGAGGGAGCAGUGGGGAAGAGUGGACAAUGGGCGCAAGCCUGAUCCAGCCAUACCGCGGGGGUGAAGAAGGCCUUCGGGUUGUAAAGCCCUUUUGUUGGGAAAGAAAAGCAGCAGGUUAAUACCCCGCUGUUCUGACGGUACCCAAGGAAUAAGCACCGGCUAACUUCGUG